CAGUAGCCGCGGUAAUACGGAGGGGGCUAGCGUUGUUCGGAAUUACUGGGCGUAAAGCGUACGUAGGCGGCUUUGUAAGUUAGAGGUGAAAGCCUGGUGCUCAACACCAGAACUGCCUUUAAGACUGCAUCGCUUGAACGUCGGAGAGGUGAGUGGAAUUCCGAGUGUAGAGGUGAAAUUCGUAGAUAUUCGGAAGAACACCAGUGGCGAAGGCGGCUCACUGGACGACUGUUGACGCUGAGGUACGAAAGCGUGGGGAGCAAACAGGAUUAGAUACCCCCGUAGUCCCUGUCUCUUAUAU
RNAcentral lists this ribosomal RNA (301 nucleotides) under uncultured bacterium. Its description in RNAcentral is "partial 16S ribosomal RNA". It matches the Rfam family "Bacterial small subunit ribosomal RNA", at positions 509 to 809 of the family's 1533-position model. The record is from RNAcentral.